GAUGAACGCUGACAGAAUGCUUAACACAUGCAAGUCUACUUGAACUUCGGUUUGGGUGGCGGACGGGUGAGUAACGCGUAAAGAACUUGCCUCACAGUUAGGGACAACAUUUGGAAACGAAUGCUAAUACCUGAUAUUAUGAUUUUAGGGCAUCCUAAGAUUAUGAAAGCUAUAUGUGCUGUGAGAGAGCUUUGCGUCCCAUUAGCUAGUUGGAGAGGUAACGGCUCACCAAGGCGAUGAUGGGUAGCCGGCCUGAGAGGGUGAACGGCCACAAGGGGACUGAGACACGGCCCUUACUCCUACGGGAGGCAGCAGUGGGGAAUAUUGGACAAUGGACCAAAAGUCUGAUCCAGCAAUUCUGUGUGCACGAUGACGUUUUUCGGAAUGUAAAGUGCUUUCAGUUGGGAAGAAAAAAAUGACGGUACCAACAGAAGAAGUGACGGCUAAAUACGUGCCAGCAGCCGCGGUAAUACGUAUGUCACAAGCGUUAUCCGGAUUUAUUGGGCGUAAAGCGCGUCUAGGUGGUUAUGUAAGUCUGAUGUGAAAAUGCAGGGCUCAACUCUGUAUUGCGUUGGAAACUGUAUGACUAGAGUACUGGAGAGGUAAGCGGAACUACAAGUGUAGAGGUGAAAUUCGUAGAUAUUUGUAGGAAUGCCGAUGGGGAAGCCAGCUUACUGGACAGAUACUGACGCUAAAGCGCGAAAGCGUGGGUAGCAAACAGG
This 722-nucleotide ribosomal RNA is filed under the name uncultured Fusobacterium sp. Its description in RNAcentral is "bacterial SSU rRNA". It matches the Rfam family "Bacterial small subunit ribosomal RNA", at positions 28 to 776 of the family's 1533-position model. The record is from RNAcentral. Lineage: Bacteria; Fusobacteriati; Fusobacteriota; Fusobacteriia; Fusobacteriales; Fusobacteriaceae.